GUUCAGGUCAGUCUUUACUGUGUGAGACAGGAUCAGGUCAGUCUGCUGUGUGAGACAGGAUCAGGUCAGUCUUUACUGUGUGAGACAGGAUCAGGUCAGUCUUUACUGUGUGAGACAGCAUCAGGUCAGUCUGCUG
This is a long non-coding RNA of Solea senegalensis (Senegalese sole), 136 nucleotides long. RefSeq lists it as uncharacterized. The record is from RefSeq and is a predicted model, not a curated record. NCBI's taxonomy places the organism in Eukaryota, Metazoa, Chordata, Actinopteri, Pleuronectiformes, Soleidae. The transcript is spliced from 3 exons.